AGAGUUUGAUCCUGGCUCAGAAUGAACGCUGGCGGCGUGCUUAACACAUGCAAGUCGAACGAGAAAGUACCUUCGGGUGCGAGUAGAGUGGCGCACGGGUGAGUAACACGUGGGUAAUCUGCCCUUAAGUUUGGGAUAACCUGUCGAAAGGUGGGCUAAUACCGGAUAAUAUCCAUAAUUGAUAGGAUUGUGGAUCAAAGAUUUAUCGCUUAAGGAUGAGCCCGCGGCCCAUUAGCUUGUUGGUGGGGUAAUGGCCUACCAAGGCUACGAUGGGUAGCUGGUCUGAGAGGAUGAUCAGUCACACUGGAACUGGAACACGGUCCAGACUCCUACGGGAGGCAGCAGUGGGGAAUUUUGCGCAAUGGGGGAAACCCUGACGCAGCAACGCCGCGUGAGUGAUGAAGGAUUUCGGUUCGUAAAGCUCUGUCAAGUGGGAAGAAGUUAUCAUAAGUUAAUAGCUUAUGGUAUUGACGUACCACUGAAGAAGCACCGCUAACU
This 498-nucleotide ribosomal RNA is filed under the name uncultured bacterium. RNAcentral's name for it is "bacterial SSU rRNA". It matches the Rfam family "Bacterial small subunit ribosomal RNA", at positions 8 to 502 of the family's 1533-position model. The record is from RNAcentral.